GAUGAACGCUAGCUACAGGCUUAACACAUGCAAGUCGAGGGGAAACGGCAUUGAGUGCUUGCACUCUUUGGACGUCGACCGGCGCACGGGUGAGUAACGCGUAUCCAACCUUCCCAUUACUGUGGGAUAACCUGCCGAAAGGCAGACUAAUACCGCAUAGUCUUCGAUGACGGCAUCAGAUUUGAAGUAAAGAUUUAUCGGUAAUGGAUGGGGAUGCGUCUGAUUAGCUUGUUGGCGGGGUAACGGCCCACCAAGGCAACGAUCAGUAGGGGUUCUGAGAGGAAGGUCCCCCACAUUGGAACUGAGACACGGUCCAAACUCCUACGGGAGGCAGCAGUGAGGAAUAUUGGUCAAUGGACGAGAGUCUGAACCAGCCAAGUAGCGUGCAGGAUGACGGCCCUAUGGGUUGUAAACUGCUUUUGUAUGGGGAUAAAGUCAAUCACGUGUGAUUGUUUGCAGGUACCAUACGAAUAAGGACCGGCUAAUUCCGUGCCAGCAGCCGCGGUAAUACGGAAGGUCCGGGCGUUAUCCGGAUUUAUUGGGUUUAAAGGGAGCGUAGGCCGGAGAUUAAGUGUGUUGUGAAAUGUAGACGCUCAACGUCUGACUUGCAGCGCAUACUGGUUUCCUUGAGUACGCACAACGUUGGCGGAAUUCGUCGUGUAGCGGUGAAAUGCUUAGAUAUGACGAAGAACUCCGAUUGCGAAGGCAGCUGACGGGAGCGCAACUGACGCUUAAGCUCGAAGGUGCGGGUAUCGAACAGG
This 761-nucleotide ribosomal RNA is filed under the name Prevotella melaninogenica. RNAcentral's name for it is "bacterial SSU rRNA". It matches the Rfam family "Bacterial small subunit ribosomal RNA", at positions 28 to 776 of the family's 1533-position model. The record is from RNAcentral. Lineage: Bacteria; Pseudomonadati; Bacteroidota; Bacteroidia; Bacteroidales; Prevotellaceae.